AUUGAACGCUGGCGGCAUGCCUUACACAUGCAAGUCGAACGGUAACAGGUCUUCGGAUGCUGACGAGUGGCGAACGGGUGAGUAAUACAUCGGAACGUGCCCGAUCGUGGGGGAUAACGAGGCGAAAGCUUUGCUAAUACCGCAUACGAUCUACGGAUGAAAGCGGGGGAUCUUCGGACCUCGCGCGGACGGAGCGGCCGAUGGCAGAUUAGGUAGUUGGUGGGAUAAAAGCUUACCAAGCCGACGAUCUGUAGCUGGUCUGAGAGGAUGAUCAGCCACAUUGGGACUGAGACACGGCCCAGACUCCUACGGGAGGCAGCAGUGGGGAAUUUUGGACAAUGGGCGAAGGCCUGAUCCAGCCAUGCCGCGUGCAGGAUGAAGGCCUUUGGGUUGUAAACUGCUUUUGUACGGAACGAAAAGCCUCUUUCUAAUAAAGAGGGGUCAUGACGGUACCGUAAGAAUAAGCACCGGCUAACUACGUG
This 482-nucleotide ribosomal RNA is filed under the name uncultured bacterium. RNAcentral's name for it is "partial 16S ribosomal RNA". It matches the Rfam family "Bacterial small subunit ribosomal RNA", at positions 30 to 507 of the family's 1533-position model. The record is from RNAcentral.